AAGAGCAGUGUACUAUGUUUCCUGUGUCACUGGUGUUGUGUCUGCUCUCAUUUCUUUUCGUGGUGGAUGGCAUUGAGCACACCCAGCCAAGCUCAGUGGCUGCAAAGCUAGGAGCAAACUUAAGGAUUACAUGCCAAGUAUCUGGGAUGUCAAUCACUACUAGCAGCUACUUUAGAACAGGUUGGAUUCGGCAGCCAGCAGGAAAAUCUCUGGAGUGGAUCAAUGCCAUAGAUUAUGAUGGCGAGGAGCACCAUAGUGAUAAACUGAAGAACAAGUUCAGCGUCUCCAGAGACACCACGAGUAACACAGUGACUCUACAGGGCCAGAAUCUACAGGCUGGAGACACAGCUGUGUACUACUGUGCCCGAGACUCACUGUGAGAUCAAACAACCACUGAUGCAUACAAA
This is a non-coding RNA of Alosa sapidissima (American shad), 407 nucleotides long. The record is from the annotation of a RefSeq genome assembly. NCBI's taxonomy places the organism in Eukaryota, Metazoa, Chordata, Actinopteri, Clupeiformes, Clupeidae.